GAUGAACGCUGGCGGCGUGCCUAACACAUGCAAGUCGAACGGUCAAACGCCUUCCUUUCUGGUGGGUGUGGAUGGGCGGCGGAGGGGUGAGUAACACGUUAGCAACCUGCCCCCUCUUUCUGGAUAACCGGAUGACAGAGCUGCUAAUACGGGAUAUUCUGAGUCUGUCGGAUCAUGGGUCUGGGAAAGAUUUUGUGUCGGUGGGAGAUGGGCUGGCGGCGUAUUAGCUAGUUGGUGGGGUGACGGCGUACCAAGGCGGCGAUGCGUAGCCGGCCUGAGAGGAGGAUCGGCCACACUGGAGCUGAGAAGCGGCCGAGACUCCUACGGGAGGCAGCAGUAGGGAAUAUUAUGCCAUGGGCGACAGCAUGAUGGAGCAACGACGCGUGAGUGAUGAAGGACGUCUGCUCGUUAUGCACUUCUAUUGGGGGUGAAGCAGUGUUGCCUCAUCUGUGGGUGUGUUGACGGUACCUGGAUAGAAAGCGCCGGCUAACUACGUG
This 497-nucleotide ribosomal RNA is filed under the name uncultured bacterium. Its description in RNAcentral is "partial 16S ribosomal RNA". It matches the Rfam family "Bacterial small subunit ribosomal RNA", at positions 28 to 507 of the family's 1533-position model. The record is from RNAcentral.